AUUUAUUCAUUUGGUCAUAACACAGUGUAGAAAGGUCCAAUUGACCUGAAAUUUUACCAGCCGAUAGCUGAGAUAUAGACCUACAACUUUCAUGAUGAAAACAAACCUAAAUUUUGAUCAUAAGAUAUUCAAAAAUUAACCUACAGUCAAUGUACAAAACACUGUAGAUUUUGUUCUAUCCAAAAAAUCGGAAAAAUUUGUAAUCCAGCCAGUUAUGGUAUUUAGGCCAUA
Molecule: unclassified non-coding RNA, 231 nt
Filed under: Hevea brasiliensis (rubber tree)
Lineage: Eukaryota; Viridiplantae; Streptophyta; Magnoliopsida; Malpighiales; Euphorbiaceae
Source: RNAcentral